GAUGAACGCUGGCGGCGUGCCUAAUACAUGCAAGUCGAACGAACAGAUGAGGAGCUUGCUCCUCUCACGUUAGCGGCGGACGGGUGAAAAACGCGUGUAUCCCCUCCCUAUCAGACUGGGAUAACUUCGGGACACCGGCGCUAAUACCGUAUAAUAUCUUGAUCCGCAUGGUUCGAUAGAAAAAGACGGUUUUGCUGGCACUUCUAGCUGGAUCCGGGCCGCAUUAGCUAGUUGGUAAGGUAACGGCUUACCAAGGCGACGAUGCGUGGACGACCUCAUGGGGUGGUCGGCCGCACUGGAGCUGGACCACGGACCAGACUCCUACGAGAGGCAGCAGUAGGGAAUGGGCCGCAGUGGGCGGAAGCCUGACGGAGCAACGCCGCGUGAGUUAUGACGGUCUUCGGAUCGUAAAACUCUGUUAUUAGUUAUGAACAAAUGUGGACGUAACUAUGCACGUCGUGACGGUACCGGAUCAGGAAGCCCCGGCUAACUACGUG
RNAcentral lists this ribosomal RNA (497 nucleotides) under uncultured bacterium. RNAcentral's name for it is "partial 16S ribosomal RNA". It matches the Rfam family "Bacterial small subunit ribosomal RNA", at positions 28 to 507 of the family's 1533-position model. The record is from RNAcentral.